GAGCGCCGGCGAGGCACCCACCGCUCCCUGCGUCGGCACCAGUCACCGCCGCUUCUGCCUGCCCAGUUCCGCGCGCGCAAUGGGGGGCUGCAAGUGGCAGGCCGCCAUGGCGUCCCGUCGCACGGUGUGCCGCGUCCAAGUCCGACAUGACGCCGCGGUGGGUGCACAAGGCCGUGGCGCGGUGACCUUGGACGAGCGGGCGGACGCCUGCUGGUGUCAGGUUUUCUGGAAGGAGGGGUGUGGCUGUGGUGGGCCGUCGCGCCGCCGGGCGUGUCCGUGCUGACGUGCUGCGAUGAGGUGCGAGGCGAUGCAUAGCUCGCCGCGGCGAUAAAGGGGGCGCCGGAGCUUCAGGCUGACGAGAACGCGGCGGCGUCCACGCCGGACGUUGCGCCGUGGUGGAUGCAGAUGUCGACCGGGGGCCGCGGCGACGGUGAGGUGGGCGCCUGAACCUCAGGUUCAGCGGCAUGGCAUGCUCUGGCUCCUCUGCUUCGGGAUGGGUAGUUCCGUGCCUCGUGCAUUGGUACAUGAGGUGGGCGUGGCGCCAUGGUGGAUGCAGAUGUCGACCGGGGGCGCGGCGAUGGUGAGGUGGGCGCCUGAACCUCAGGUUCAGCGGCAUGGCGUGCUCUCUGCUCUGUCUCCUCUGCUCCACGGCAUGCAACAAAAGAUAAAGGUGAAAGGCUGCAAACUUGCUUGCCAUCAUGAAGACAUGAGCUCAGAGCAACAUAAAAAACAAAAGAUUUGAGAUGGAAAGACAGUGAAGAAGCUUUCGUAGCUUGCCAUCAUCCAGUUUCUUAAGUUUAAAAGGAUAUAGUAAGUUGGAAGGUUGCAACAAUUUUGUAGGAGGAGGGAGCAAACCUUGGUUGACUAGCCCAGCACCAAUAGACAAUGGUACCAACCAGUUCUUACUCAGUUGGAGUCGACCUCAGGAGACUUCUUUGUCUUCUUAUUCAGUUCAUUAGUCUGGUCCCAUCGCUAAUGAAAUACUCCAUACUCUGCGUUGGGGUGAUAUAUGUUAUUGAACAUUUGGUGACACU
Molecule: long non-coding RNA, 1034 nt
Organism: Panicum hallii
Lineage: Eukaryota; Viridiplantae; Streptophyta; Magnoliopsida; Poales; Poaceae
Exons: 3
Source: RefSeq, a predicted model, not a curated record